This 253-nucleotide ribosomal RNA is filed under the name uncultured bacterium. RNAcentral's name for it is "partial 16S ribosomal RNA". It matches the Rfam family "Bacterial small subunit ribosomal RNA", at positions 524 to 776 of the family's 1533-position model. The record is from RNAcentral.
UACGGGGGGGGCAAGCGUUGUUCGGAAUUACUGGGCGUAAAGGGCUUGUAGGCGGCCAACUAAGUCAUACGUGAAAUCCCUCGGCUUAACCGGGGAACUGCGUCUGAUACUGGAUGGCUUGAAUCCGGGAGAGGGAUGCAGAAUUCCAGGUGUAGCGGUGAAAUGCGUAGAUAUCUGGAGGAAUACCGGUGGCGAAGGCGGCAUCCUGGACCGGCAUUGACGCUGAUGAGCGAAAGCUAGGGGAGCAAACGGG